Molecule: ribosomal RNA, 468 nt
Filed under: uncultured bacterium
Lineage: Bacteria
Description: partial 16S ribosomal RNA
Rfam family: Bacterial small subunit ribosomal RNA
Source: RNAcentral
GACGAACGCUGGCGGCGUGCUUAACACAUGCAAGUCGAACGGAAAGGCCCUGCUUUUGUGGGGUGCUCGAGUGGCGAACGGGUGAGUAACACGUGAGUAACCUGCCCUUGGCUUUGGGAUAACUUCAGGAAACUGGGGCUAAUACCGGAUAGGAGCUCCUGCUGCAUGGUGGGGGUUGGAAAGUUUCGGCGGUUGGGGAUGGACUCGCGGCUUAUCAGCUUGUUGGUGGGGUAGUGGCUUACCAAGGCUUUGACGGGUAGCCGGCCUGAGAGGGUGACCGGCCACAUUGGGGCUGAGAUACGGGCCAGACUGCUACGGGAGGCAGCAGGGGGGAAUAUUGCGCAAUGGGCGGAAGUCUGAUGCAGCAACGCCGCGUGCGGGAUGAAGGCCUUCGGGUUGUAAAACGCUUUCGCCUGUGACGAAGGGUGAGUGACGGUAAUGGGUAAAGAAGCACCGGCUAACUACGUG